RNAcentral lists this transfer RNA (73 nucleotides) under Bacteroides sp. Its description in RNAcentral is "tRNA-OTHER". It matches the Rfam family "tRNA". Rfam says of the family: Transfer RNA (tRNA) molecules are approximately 80 nucleotides in length. Their secondary structure includes four short double-helical elements and three loops (D, anti-codon, and T loops). Lineage: Bacteria; Pseudomonadati; Bacteroidota; Bacteroidia; Bacteroidales; Bacteroidaceae. The record is from RNAcentral.
GGGAGAGUGGCGCAAUCGGUUAGCGCAAGAAGUAGCUUGUCUGUUGUUGGUUCGAGUCCAACCUCUCCCACCA